RNAcentral lists this long non-coding RNA (28161 nucleotides) under Lactuca sativa (garden lettuce). Its description in RNAcentral is "long non-coding RNA (LSAT_LNC001547)". Lineage: Eukaryota; Viridiplantae; Streptophyta; Magnoliopsida; Asterales; Asteraceae. The record is from RNAcentral.
AAAAGCAAUAACACUAUUUUUGGAUUUUUAAUUUUUGUUUUUUUUUAAUUUUUUUUUGUUUUUUUUAAUUAAUUUUAAUUUUUAAUUCUCCCCUAAUAUUUAAAUUAGAAGAACACUAUGAACAAACUUAACAAAAACAUAAAUAAUAGCUAACUUUAAGAGUGAUUUGGGAUCAAAGUUUUUAGACAACCUUAAUCCACUUGUCGGUACCUUCUAUCUUCACGUCUUUGUCUGGUCGAUCGUCGGUAUUGUUGUCCACUUAAACACGAAAAAUUGUGACAAAUUUAGGACAUACUAUUUGUUACAAGACAGGUGAACUUAAGUUCAAAAAAAAAUUAUAUCGGAUCCUAAUUUCUUAGAUACUAUAUCUUAAGGUCCAUUCAUCUGACGACGACCAGGGAUAUUGUUGUCCACCUAAAUUGAGCAGCGAGAUCUACAGACAAUCUGUAUGAGUUCAAUUUUAAGUGUACUGGAACGUGUUUCCCGCUUCCUGAUAUGCCCCAGCCAUCAAGAACUUCCAGAGUACUCCUUACACCGGGUGAGCAGACAACCAUUCAGAGAGAGGAUAGAUUCAGAAUUCUAUUACUUAUUACUUCAGAGGGGUUGAGAAGUAGAAGGUUGCAUAUGUUGUGUACCAGGUCGGAUUAGAAGUCACGCAAAGGAGACAGCAUAUGGCUAACAGAUAAGAAGUAUUUCACAUAUAUAGCCUGCAGAGAAAUAGAGUUGCAUAUGUUGUGUACCAGGUCGGAUUGGAAGUCACGCAAAGGAGACAACAUAUGACUAACAGACGGAAAGAAAGAAAAUGAUAUUCUACAGACCUAAUUUAUCGGAAUUUACCAGUCGCCCCAUCCAACCGGAAUUAAGGACAGAAUCCGCACAUCGAGGAAAAGUUAAACCACGGUUCCAAGUACGGGUUCAAUUAAUGUGACGAGUAGAUUCCCAUAUAUAUCUCCCUGUUCAACCUAUCUGAGCGUCCUAUUGUCAGGCUGAACGUAUCUAACUAGUUCAAGAUUUGUCAAGUCGAUAAAUUUGCUAAGUUCAACUCUCCCUAGUCAAGUCCAUUUAAAAAUUUUCGUGCCUACCGACGCAUCAAACCAGAGCAUAGACCCUUCAACUUCGGGUACGUUACGCAGACUCAGGUUGCCUGUUAUCACUUGAUAAUAUCACUUCCCAAAAAAUCUCCCUCAAACACAGACUCAUAACCAAUAUUUUUUUUUAUUUUCUGAUUUUAUGAUGUUUUUGGAUUUUUUUUUUAAUUUUCUAAUUUUUGUUUUGUUUUUAUUUCUCCCCUUAAAUUUGUGCAUAGGAGAGAAACGAAAGUAAAUGCACAAAUUUAAACUAUCCUAAAACAAAAAUUAGUCUUUAAAGCGAAUCAGCUUAAGAAAAACUCAGGACUAUAGAGAAGAAAACUCAAACCGUAAGUCACUGAUUGAAUCUACAUUCAGAAGGUCUGAGAACAGCAAGCAUAAUCUAGAACAGAUCNCCGUAAGUCACUGAUUGAAUCUACAUUCAGAAGGUCUGAGAACAGCAAGCAUAAUCUCAGAACAGAUCCGAAAAUUCUUCAUAUCAUUAUGCACUAACCCCAUUUGUGAUCUCUUCCUUUCUUCCUUUCCCGCAAAGGACACAUACUCCCAAACAAUGGUCUGAAUGUUGUACAGUUGAGAGAUGUCUCCUAUCAUGUGCCUGGAACAGCCACUACCAACAAACCGAAGUAUGAUGAUAUGCCUCCAUAGCUGCUCCAGCACAGAGCGAGAUCAGUUGGUCUUUGGAACCCAGUCCAUUUUGAAACUGGGUCGACCUUUGUCAUCCUUGCACGGUACCCUCUCCCAUGACAUAUCCUGUUUAUCACAAACAGAAGAUGAAGAAAUAUUAGAGUCAUUAGUUGAUUUGGGAGAUUGAGCCUUUGGUACCCAUUGAUAGUUGGGUUUAACCCAUUUCUUUUUCGAUCCGAUGGGUGGCUCGGUACUUGAUUUGGAACUUGAAGCCGUCUGCCUAAAUGACUUUGACCUAACCGUUCUUGGCUUCACAGGAGCAUGUCUUGAACUAGACUUCUGGGCUGACAUUUCCUUCUUUCCCUUGGGAUUCAGAUUCUUUGCCUUGUGGGUUUGAUUCUUGGCCUUCUGCGCAUUCCAGUCACCAUUGUCUGAAUGUGACCUGGAAGGGUUUCUUUUGAAGUAUCUCCCACUUGGCGCGUUUUGCCAUCCUUGUGCACAGUAUGGAACGUAUGCGCGAUUAGGACAGUUUCGGGCAAUGUGUCCAGGUGUUCCACAGUGAAAGCAAGUCUUUUUCUUUACUAUGAAGUUAUCUCUUCCUGCCCCUGGUGGCGUAUCCUUGCCUUGUCUCUUGUUGUUCCCAUAUGCACACUUACAACAGGCACUUUGUUGCUCUGGGAUUGGAGGCCUAUAUUUCUCAACGACAGGUUUGUUAGAAGCAACCGAGUUCGAAGCAACAGAUUUAGAGUUCAAGGAGUCAUUGGUUUGUUUAGAAGAACUCUCCUUGUUCUCAUCCUCUGCUACUUUACCUGCACAUGUAACAGAAACAUCAAUAUUUUCAACAUUAAUAACUCCUCCUGACACAAAUCCAGCUGGUUUUCCGUAUUUAAGAUGUGCCUCCCUGUCAAUUUCUUCUUGUUUCAUAGGGAUGGAUGUGUAGUUAUGAUUGUAAGGAGGAGGUACACUAUCAUACCCUAGACCCUUGUUUUGAUUCCUUUUAAACUGCAUGCUUUGGUCUAUCAUAUUUGCAACCACCUCACUUGAGAAAUCAUAUUUUCUAACAUCAAGUUUGGCGGUUUCAAACUUUCCUUUCAAAGAUUCAACUUCAGCCACUAGCUCAGCAUUUUGUUUGACUACAUAAUCAUAGUUUUCACAUUUGUUACUGUAGUCUUCCUGAAGUUUCCUAAAGUCCUUGGUUUUUGCUUCUAANNNNNNNNNNNNNNNNNNNNNNNNNNNNNNNNNNNNNNNNNNNNNNNNNNNNNNNNNNNNNNNNNNNNNNNNNNNNNNNNNNNNNNNNNNNNNNNNNNNNNNNNNNNNNNNNNNNNNNNNNNNNNNNNNNNNNNNNNNNNNNNNNNNNNNNNNNNNNNNNNNNNNNNNNNNNNNNNNNNNNNNNNNNNNNNNNNNNNNNNNNNNNNNNNNNNNNNNNNNNNNNNNNNNNNNNNNNNNNNNNNNNNNNNNNNNNNNNNNNNNNNNNNNNNNNNNNNNNNNNNNNNNNNNNNNNNNNNNNNNNNNNNNNNNNNNNNNNNNNNNNNNNNNNNNNNNNNNNNNNNNNNNNNNNNNNNNNNNNNNNNNNNNNNNNNNNNNNNNNNNNNNNNNNNNNNNNNNNNNNNNNNNNNNNNNNNNNNNNNNNNNNNNNNNNNNNNNNNNNNNNNNNNNNNNNNNNNNNNNNNNNNNNNNNNNNNNNNNNNNNNNNNNNNNNNNNNNNNNNNNNNNNNNNNNNNNNNNNNNNNNNNNNNNNNNNNNNNNNNNNNNNNNNNNNNNNNNNNNNNNNNNNNNNNNNNNNNNNNNNNNNNNNNNNNNNNNNNNNNNNNNNNNNNNNNNNNNNNNNNNNNNNNNNNNNNNNNNNNNNNNNNNNNNNNNNNNNNNNNNNNNNNNNNNNNNNNNNNNNNNNNNNNNNNNNNNNNNNNNNNNNNNNNNNNNNNNNNNNNNNNNNNNNNNNNNNNNNNNNNNNNNNNNNNNNNNNNNNNNNNNNNNNNNNNNNNNNNNNNNNNNNNNNNNNNNNNNNNNNNNNNNNNNNNNNNNNNNNNNNNNNNNNNNNNNNNNNNNNNNNNNNNNNNNNNNNNNNNNNNNNNNNNNNNNNNNNNNNNNNNNNNNNNNNNNNNNNNNNNNNNNNNNNNNNNNNNNNNNNNNNNNNAAAAAAAUUAAACUCAAAAAUCAAACUUGAAAAGUCAAACUUAAAAGUCAAAUUUAAAAAGUUAAACUCAAAAGUCAAACUCAAAAUUUUAAAUAAAAAAAAACAAAAAUAAAAGUUAAAAAUAAUUUAUAUAUUUAAAUAUUUUUUUAUUAUUAUUAAUUUAUUUAUUUUAUUAUUUAUUAUUUUAUUAUAAUUUUUUUUAUUUUGAAAGAAAAAGAAAUUUAAAAAUAAAAGAAAUUGAGUUUUUGGGUUAAAUUUGACAAAAUUUCAAAAGUUGGAUGCGACUGGAAGUGUUUAACAAUUAAAAACGGAAGGCUUGUAACAAGUUGUUCCUUAGUUUAACUGGUAAAGCGCCUUCUUGAAGUUGCAGAGGUCCCGUGUUCGAUGCUUGCCAGACGCAAAGCUGUUGNGCCAGACGCAAAGUUGUUGCCUUUUUGUUGAAGCGCUUGCAGCUUGCUGCUGCUGAGCCGAGCCGCAAGUCGCGAGCCGAUCUACCGAGCCAAUCUGCCGAGCCGAGCCGCAAACUCCGGAAACCCUAGCCGUAAACCCGAACCCCGCCGCCGGCCGUGAACUGUUUCCGGCAGUAAGCUCCGGCCGAAAACCCUUCAACAAUUACGUGAAAAACAGUGACUUUGAAUCUCCAAAACUCAAUCAAAAACUCUUUUUUAUGCAAAACACAAAGAACAAACCCCCUUUAUUUUUGCGAGAUCUAUCCAAAAACGCGAAAAUAUUUCAAAAAUAAGAUCAAAUAAUGCUCCAAAAUAGAGUUUACGGCCCAAGAACUCGGUGUUUACGGCCGUAAGCUUGGGCUGUAAACACAGAAUAUUCGAUUUUUGGAUGAAACAAUAAAUCCUUUUGACUGAUACAACUUGGAUCUGAUACCAAUUGUAAGUCCCUAAUUUGCCCGUGUAUCAGUUAGAUUCGUUUGAUGGUGCGGAAUCUCAAUCAAACGGAUGAUGUCAGAUCAAAAUAAAAGAGAAAGAGAAGAAGAAUAAUAUGAAUCUUUGUAUGUAUUGAUAUGAAGGAAGAUCCGGAUACAAAAGAUUCACACACACAUAAAAGAUUCUGUUUCUCUCUGGCCGUAAACUCCUUCUAGGGUUUAUCACUCUCUACUCCUCACCCUAACACCUCUAUUUAUACUUGAAUAUGGGCCGGACAAAACAAAUGGGCCGUAAAUGAGUUUACGGCCGUAAGGUGUUUACGGCCAUAAACUCAGCCGUAAACUAGGCCAUAAAUUCAUAUAAUAUUACACAAAAAUAUAAUUGCCCAGAAAAGUAAAGUGUAAACCAUAUUUUGACCCAACAAUAUUUUAAAAUUUAAAAACUUAAAAAUUUAAAAUUUAUUUUGGUUUAAUAUUAGAAAAUUAAAAGAUUGAAUUUCUUAAAUAUUUCCCUCCUAUGAGUGCCGAUGACCGCCAAGCCUGAGUUUGACCGAUUUUAACAAAUUUUCGCUAAUCACCCUAAUCGUAAUUGGUUCAAGACCGCUAUACGAUUAAUCGGCGGCUAAUAAGAAAACCUAGAACGACAUGGAAGGCUAAAAGAAAUUUUUUCCAAAGCAAUAAGAAUGUGAGAUGGAACUCUUGUACAUGUAGUUGUAACUGAUGAUCAACAUACGUGUUAUAAGGGAUGAGAAAAAGAUGAAUGUUAUCAAAAUUUCAUAAGGACUCAUGAUUUUGAUAUCAAAAUGCUAGCUCUAGUGAUUGUUUUGGCCUAAUGACAAUUUGGGAACAUGGAAUGGAAUUGAGGAUUUUAUAGUCAAAUUAAGCACAUACAAUAGGGUUGGUUACAGUUUUACAUACUUAACAACAUGCAUACGAGUGUUCAAUAAGUUGGGAACAAGCUAUGUGUGUUUUAGAAAGUCCACUUGGAAAAUCGGCUAUUUAGCCCUUCAUUUAAGACUUGAAGAACAUCAUAAUUUUAAAGGUUUCAUUAAGCACUUAAUUAAUUAAAUGGAGUGUUUUGGAUGAUAAAACACAUCCUAAUCAUGUAUGAGAACCUAUACAAAUGGUACAUAGAGAACUUGAAAGGACCUUAAAAAAAAAGUAGGCAAGGUAAAGCGUUAUUCUGAGAAAAAUUAGAGUUUUUAAGUGAAUUUCCAGAAAAGCGUGGGUGCGAUUUUUCCAAGGCUUAAAAAGCAAAGUCGCGUAACCCCCUGUUAAAGGAUGUUGCCCGCUCACUUCAAUAACUUGAUUUUGGCUCGUCUGUUUGACCUAAUUCCAAUUAUAUUAGUUAAGAAUUGUUGAAAAACGAUGUUUAGAAGAGUUUAUAAAUUUUAUGACCCUCAAGGGUAUUUGGUCAUUUUGUUGACUUUCUCCUACAUUGUGUUGGUGGUAUCUAAGGAGUGUUAGUUGUGGAAUAAAGCUGGAAAGGAGUAGCAACCUAUAUUAGUGACUUAGGUGAGUACGCAUAAGCAUUUUUCCACUUUGGGGUACAUGGUUAAAUGAUAUUUUUACUAUGAAAAUGCUAAAUAUUUUGAUAUAUGAAAUAUGUAUUUUCAAAGUAUAUUUUUUAAUAGUUUAUGAUAUCUAUGAAAUAUGACAUGAUCACAUGAGUAUUGAUAAUGUUUGAAUGUGAAAACUAGAAAUAAAGUAAUAAAGGCACAAAUGAAUCAUCUAGACUAUGGUGUCUCACAAGGGGCCUAGAGAAAUCUACUAUGAUAGUACAUUCACUUUGUGUAGUAAAAAUAUUUUUGCCAAUGAUGCCUUGGUGGACUUAUCUUUUUCUUUCCACUAUGCUCUUGAAUUGAGAGUGUUCCUAAAAUAGACAUAGACCCUAAGUAUAAAAAUGGAAAUAGAUUAAUACCGUAAUUAGCCCUUAAUGCAAGAAGGGAAUGGAAUGUGGUAAAUAUUAUAUUGGAAUAUGUUUUAUACUUUGAAAUUUUUUGACGAGUUGUGAUAAAUGUUUAUGUGUCGUAAGUUCGCGUAUCUCACGAGAAAUCUUUGUCUUAUGUAUCUCUUUUAGUGCCAUGUAUCUCAAGUACUAGUUCCAAGAUGUAGAUUGACUUGGUGAUAUUGAAAUCCAUGGGAGACUUACAUGGAGUGAUAACUUACAUUUAAAUUGAUCUUGUAACCGUAAUUUGUUAAGCUAUGGUUUCUUGAUACAAUUUCGGUAACACCAAACGGUUUUGUUUUGAAAACCCAUGUUUUAAUUUAACUCUGAUGUUUGUUUCAUGAUUUGAAAACUUAUUUCAUUUAACCAUAGCUUUGAAAAAGUUUGAAAAAUUAGGGGUGUUACAUAUUUCGUCAACUGGAUUUGUAAAUUUUCUUUAAGUUUGAGUGCUUAAUACAUGUAUCUUUUUAUGUAAUAUUGUUUUCACAUUCAUGUUUAUAUAAAAAUAUUAUCUUUAUGACACUUCAUACACCAAUACUCAUGGAUUUAUGACUUCAUAUCGUAAUACAAGAUAUUAGCUAGUCGAUUGACUAAAAAUGAAAGAUUCAAUCAUGCUCAUACACACAACUCAUAAAUGUUAUUGAGUAUGCUUAUGCUAUUUUGAAACAAAGAUUUCCAAUUCUAAAGCAAAUGACUGCUUUCAUUUUCCAAGAAAGAGAGACAAAAUAAUUGCAUGUUUCACACUAUAUAAUUCUAUAUGAAAAUGCAACAUUUACGACUAAUUAUUUAUGUAUUUGAGGAGGAUACCAUGUCUACUCUUAAAGUAAUAGAUGGAGAAAUUGGGGAACAAAACUUACCCAAAAUAGUAAGGGGCUCUCAAACCAUGAAUAUGACCAAUUCGCAUGAUCACAUUGCUAAUCAUUAAUUUUCAAAUCCCUCAAAAUAAAAAUUAUAUGCAACAUGCCUUGUUCAAUUUGGAUUUUAGUAUGUUUUUAUGGAUUACAAAAAGAUUAUUUGCUAUGAUAUUUUCUAUGAUGUUUUGUGAUAUUUACAGUUCAACAAGUUUAUUUAGAUGUUUUAUUAAACACAAAUAAUUCAUUUUGCAAAAACAAUUCUCAAUGUUAAAAUGUUACUCAUUUUCAUUUUACAAGUUUAUUCAAUAAUCUACCAAACAAUAUGAAUCAUUUUAUACUUUUAAUCAAUCAGACUUACAAACUAUUCAACGCUAAAUCAUUCAGGUAUUACCAAACAACUUAACUUGUAAUUCUUAUUCCAUUCUAAAAACAUAAUUCUUAUUCCAUCCUAAAAAACAAACAAAUACACUUUGAAAUUCCGAUAAACAAAACAUGUUUCAAUUUGAAAGUUGAAACGUUUUAACAAAAUCACACCUUACCAUGAAGUUAUAAUAAUUUAAUUAUUUAAUUUGGAUUAAUAAGUUAUCAUCGCAUUUUCACGCGUCACUCCUAACUUGGCCUUUGUGCUCUUUUAGGUAGUUGAUCAGUACGACCGACAAAACUAUCUAUGAGACUGAACCAAACGGCCACAUAGACUGUGUGUAAAAAACUUUCGUUCUGCUUCGUUUAUCAAUCGGUGAUGUUUUCUUUGUAGUGAGAAAAAAAGAUGAUUCUAAUCUGGUCGAUUUGUCCAAAUCAAUGGGCUUUUUCGUCAAUGUUGGAUUUGCAAACGCACUCCUUGUACUUCUCCUCGUCGGCGACGGCUGUGGAAGCAGAGUGAACGGUACGAGAAGGUCCGAGAACUGAUUGGAAAAGAGAAUAGAUUAAGUUUGUUUACGAUUCUCCUCUUCUCGACCUUCUCUUUCAUGGAGUGCAUAUUCUAUUUUCCCUUUUCUCUUUUCCCCCUUUACAUUUUAUGAUUUUAUCUACUCUGGUGAUUAGAGCAUUUAUAUGUUCUACGUAUCUUAGCGUUUUAAGCAGAAAUGUAAGUAAACACAUCUCAAUUUUAUCGUAUCAGUGUUAUGUUUAAUGGUUGAUAUGAAUUUCUAAUGUUCUUGUUAUCACUAAUGAUGGAUAUGUUGUGUAAUCUUCCUUAUGAAAUGUGUUUAAGCCUUAAUACUCAUGCAUGGAUGAAAGGAAAGGAUCAAUAUCACUUUUUUAUGGCUCCAUGCACUUCAAAAUAUCUGAAAAGGCUACUCAUAACCUCUGGAGUAGCUCAUACUCAACUAGACUAAGAUUAUAGGACCAAAGUGCACAAGAACCUUAGAACUAAUAUGAUCUAAUAAAUUGUUCAUCAAGCUCAUAACUUUAUACCUUCUGGAGAUUGCUGAGGAGAUGUAGGGUCUAGAUCCAGAAGGCUUGAAACUUCUUAAGUGCUUUCUAAGAGCUUUAUUCCAUUAAAAAUGAGCACAAAACUCUAAAAAGGAACAAAACUUCAUAAAUGGAGAUUAGGGUUUGCAAGGGAUCAUUUGGGAGGAUAAAGGAUGCAGGUGGAAUGGAUUUAUGAGGGUUAAAGUUAUUUAAAUAGGGUUCAAACCCUCAAUAUUAGGAUUUUCCCAUCAACCGAGUAUGCCCUGCGUACUCAGAGGCACUCGCAUUACCUUUUAAUGACAUACGCCCCAAGUACGCCUGAAGUAGGGAUCAUUUUUGCAACAAUGUACAUCCUGAGUCAAGAAAGGAAAUUGAUAGUUUCAUUUUAUUUACUUCUUUUUAUAGUUUAUUUUAGAAUAUUUCAUUCACAUUUUAGUUAAUUUCGAUGCAUAUUUUCCUUUUUGUUAUUUUAUGACCACUUUCAGGUACUUUCGAAUUUCAUGAGCAUAAUUGCAGGUUUACGGAGUCUAGCAGAGCGAGAAUGUUCGGGACAUAUGGGAAGUGGUUGGAUUUGGAGGAUAACAAGGAUCUUGGGCUUAAUAUCUAGUAGAUAUGGUGCGAAAAUGAGCUUUAGAAGGAUGGAGCAAGGAUGAAGAUGGCCUCUUAGUUAAACGAUGAUGGAAGAAUUUUUCAAGCGUGCGAGAAUUAAUGAUCAGGCGAUUACCAGAGCUUUAGAGAAUUUAGGAAAGACUAACUAGGCUUAAAAUGAAGACAAAUUGUUGAAAAAUGGGUUAAGAGAUGAUUGGACUCGAACUGGGCUAAAUGGGUUAAGUUGUGGAGGCCCAACAAAUGAGAAGACCCAAUCUCCGUCAGUUCACACGGCCCACGUGGGAUCUUUAGGUGGCCCACGUGGGUUCUUGCAGGGGUAAUUUCGGGAUUUCAAUUGGAGCUCUAUAUGGGUAAGGUUGGUGUUCCACUUUUCUCAACUUUUGCACAUCCGAACUUGGGAGCUUCUCUAGAGAUUUUAGAGCAUUUUGAAGACCAAGAACCUUGAAUAACUUCAUCUUUUCACCCCUUAAUCUUGUUUAAUGUUUUGUACAAUCUUUUACUUACUUUGUUGUCUUGAGUUUAGCCAUGCUUGGCUAGACAAAACUUGGUUGACCUUUGUGGAAUCCUUUGAACUUUUGUUGAAUGUUGAAGACUCCAUGAACUAGUUUUGAAUCUUUAUGAGAAUGUUUUAUGUAUUAACAUCUCAUCACUACUUGUAUGUUUUUAUUCAUGAGUUUAAAUGUGUUUGUGGUGAUUAGUUGGCUAAUUUCUUGAUUAAGUAAAGUAUCUUCAAUUUAGCAAGAAACAAAUGAUUUUUGUGUUAGUUUUGCUUCACAUAAUUAAAAAAACAUUUUCUCCAACAUGGUAGUGAAAGUAUUUGACUCCUCGUGGAUUUGGUGACUUUUUGGUUCAUAAUGCUAAUUGUCUUUCACUAAUUACAUGUUUAAUGGAAAAUUGUGACUUUAACUAAAGAAAUUGUUAUGAGCUCCUCUAGCCAUUUUAAAAACUAAGAAAAGUCUAGGUAACCUCAAGCUUCUUGGAUUACUAUAGCCAAAUUAAGGAUUUAAAACAAGUAUUGCACCAUUGGAUUCUAAUGAUAUGUUCAUCAAAAGUCAAAGUAAGGAAACUUUAAGUAAACCAUCUUUAUCUUAUUGAUGUUACAUCAAACUUAUAUUUUUGUUGAAUUGUCCAUUUAAAUCUUUGUUUAAUUCUAGCUUAUUUCAAGUAUUUCGAAAGAUCAACCCCUCCCCCAUUUUUAGUUUUAAUUAUCAUUUUAUAAGUAUUUUUGCAAAUAUGUUUUUCAUAGAGUUAUUAAAUUGAACCAAUCUUUGCGGAUUCAACCUAUUUACCACUAUACACUAUUUUAUUGUAAAAGAUUUAGGGAUAUUUAUUUUGUUGGCCUCGACAACCACCAGAAUUUACCUGAUUUGGUUGGGUGUUACACAUGGUUGUUACUUGGAAUUGAUUCCUAAAAUGGACAUAGAUCCUAAGUAUAAAAAUGACAACAAAUUAAUACCGUAAUUAGCCCUUAAUGCUAGAAGGGAAUCGAAUGUGUUAAAUUUUAGCUUGGUAUACUUUGAAUUUUUUGAUAAGUUGUGAUAAAUGUUUUUGGGUCAUAAACCUAGAGGUGGGAAUCGUGUCGUGUCGUGUCGGGUUCGUGUCAUGUCGAAACACUAAACGGGUUGAAAGUGCUUGACCCUGACCCGACCCAUUUAAUUAACGUGUCGUUUCGUGUCAACCCGUUUAUUUCGUGUCAAGUUCGUGUCGGGUUUCGGGUUAGGGCUAAAUAUGUCGUGUCAUGUGAGGUUAAAAGAUUGAGCAUGUUGAAAGAGUAGGAGUUUGGUAGGCGGAAAUGAAAAACUAAUUGUUUUGAGGCAUAAUAGAUGAAGCUAUAGCAAGUUUAGAUGACAAAAUAAGUUUAGAUGACAAAAUUAAAAAAAUGGGAGUUGGGGAGGCGGAUGACAAGGUCAUGAGGAUGUGAGAGUGGUGAAAGAGACUAGGUAGUUUGGGAGAAUGGAAAAACUGAAAUGAAAUAUUGAUCUAGACGACUAAGUCAUUUCAACAUUACAAAACAAUUCAAUUCGAAGGUUUUCUUUUACUUAUGCUUUUGGUUUUGUAUCUUUCUAAUUUAUUUAAAUAAUUUAAAAAUCUUGCAUCUAAAUAAACGGGUCAUUUUCGAGUCAUAUUCGAGUUGAAAUUCUCAACCCUAACCUUACCCAUUUAGUGUCGUGUCGUGUCAACUCGUUUAUUUAAACGGGUUGAAAUAUCUUACCCAAACCCGUUUAUUUCGUGUCGGGUUCAUUUCGGGUUUCGUGUCGUGUCAAUUUUUGCUACCUUUACAUAAACUCACAUAUCUCACAAGACAUCUGUGUCUUGUGUAUCUCUUUUAAUGUCAUGUAUCUCAAGUACUAGUUCCAAGAUGUAUAUUAACUUGGUGAUGUUGAAGUCCAUGUGAGACUUAUAUGGAGUGAUAAGUUACAUUUGAAUCGAUCUUGUAAUCUUAAUUUGUUAAGCUAUGAUUUUUGCUUGAUACAAUUUCGGUAACACCUAACGGUUUUGUUUUGAUAACUCAUGUCUUAUUUUAACUCUGUUGCAUGAUUUGAACACUGAAGUGGUUUAACCAUAGCUUUGAAAAAGUUUGAAAAUUUGGAGGUGUUACAUGUUUUGUCCACUGAAUUUGUAAACGUUCUUUAAGUUUGAGUGCUUAAUAUAUACAUCUUUUUAGGUAAUAUUGUUGUCACAUUCACGUUUAUAUAAAAAUAUCACCUUUGUGACGCUUCAUACAUUAACACUCAUAGAUUUAUGACUACAUACCGUAAUAUAAGAUAUAGGCUAGUCGAUUGACUAAAAAAGAAAGAUUCAAUCGUACUCAUAUAAAACUCAUAAAUGUAAUGUUAUUGACUGUGCUUAUGCUAUUUUGAAAACAAGAUUUCCAAUUCUAAAGCAAACGACUCCUUAUCCUUUUCCAAUACAUAGAAACAAAAUAAUUGCAUGUUUCACGGUCUAUAAUUCUACAUGGAAAUACAAUAUUUACGAUCAAUUAUUAAUGUAUUUUGAACAUGUCUACUCUUAGAGUACUAGAUGGAGAAAUUUUGGAACAAAACUUAGAAAGGGACUCUCAAGCCAUGGAUAUAUGACCAAUUCUCAUGAUCACAUUGCUAAUAAUUUAUUUUCAAAUGCCUUAAAAUAAAAAUUAGAUGCAACAUACCAUGUUCAAUUUGGAUUUUAGUAUAUUUUUAUGGAUUAUCAUCAUGAUAUUUCUUAUGAUGUUCUAUGAUAUUUACAAUUCAUUAAGUUUAUUUAAAUGUUUUAUUAAACAUAAAUAAUUCAUUUAGCAAAAAAAUAGAAUGUUAAUCGUUUUCAUUUAACACGUUUAUUCAACAAUUUUACCAAACAACAUGAAUCAUUUUAGACUUUUAAUCAGUCAUACUUAUUAAAUCAUUUAGGUAUUACCAAACAACUUAUAAUUUUUAUUCCAUUCUAAAAACACAAUUCUUAUUCCAUCCUAAAAAAAACAAACAAAUACACUUUUGAAAGUUGAAACAUUUCAACAAAAUCUCACCUAACCAUGAAGUUAUAAUAUUUUAAUUAUUUAAUUUGGAUUAAUAAGUUAUCAUUGCCUUUGCUCGCGUCACCUCUAACUUGGCCUCUGUGCUCUCUUUUAGGUAGUUGAUCAGUACGGACGGCGGAGCUAUCUAUGAGACUGAAGCAAACGGUAACAUAGACUCUGCAUCAUCAACAACCUUCGUUCUGCUUCGUCUAUCAAUCGGUGGUGUUCUCUUUGUAGUGAGAAAAAAGAUGAUUCUAAUCAGGUCGAUUCGUCCAAAUCGACGAGCUUUUUCAUCAAUGUUGGAUCUGCAACCGCGCUCCCUGCACUUCUCCUCGUCGGCGGCGGCUGUGGAAGCGGAGCGAACGAUACGAGAAGGUCCGAGAACUGAUUGGAAAAAAGAAGAGAUUAAGUCCGUUUACGAUUCUCCUCUUCUCGACCUUCUCUUUCAUGGAGUGCGUAUUCUCUUUUCCCUCUUUACAUUUUAUGAUUUUAUCUAUUCUGGUGAUUAAAGCGUUUAUGUGUUUUACCUAUCUUAGCUUUUUAAGCAGAAAUGCAAUUAACACAUCCCGAUUUUAUCGUAUCGUUGUUAGGUUUAAUGAUUGAUAUGAAUUUCUAAAGUUAUUCUUGCUAUCACCAUUAGCAUGAUGGAUUUGCUGAGUAAUCUUCCUUAUGAAAUAUGUUUUCUCACAGGCUCAAGUUCAUAGACAUGCUCAAAACUUCAGGGAGGUUCAGCAAUGUACACUUCUGUCCAUAAAAACCGGCGGAUGCAGUGAGGAUUGUUCAUAUUGCCCCCAAUCUUCUAGAUACGACACAGGAUUGAAAGCGCAAAAGCUCAUGAACAAAGACGCUGUUCUGGAAGCAGCACAAAAGGUACAUUUAACAUUUAACAUUUCCUCUAAUCACCCAUUCAUUUUCUACACCCAAUUUAUUCUAAUCACAAGAAUUCACAUUCUUACAUAUCUCUACUAUCACUUGUUAGGCAAAAGAGGCUGGAAGCACUCGAUUUUGCAUGGGUGCAGCAUGGAGAGACACCAUAGGAAGGAAAACCAACUUCAAACAGAUUCUUGAAUAUGUGAAAGAAAUAAGGUAUGUAAUAACUUGUAAUCUCUUAUCUUUAACCUACAAAUACCUUAUGAAAUCUGAUUAUGUGUAAUGGUUUUACAGGGGUAUGGGAAUGGAGGUGUGUUGUACUUUAGGAAUGAUAGAAAAGCAACAAGCUUUAGAACUGAAGAAAGCAGGGCUUACAGCAUACAACCAUAAUCUUGAUACAUCAAGAGAGUAUUACCCUAAUGUGAUUACAACAAGAACAUAUGAUGAACGAUUGGAAACCAUCAAGCAUGUUCGUGAAGCAGGGAUUAAUGUUUGUUCAGGUACUUUUGGUUGAAUUAUUAGGUUAAAGAGUUGAUUUUGUUUAUAAUUUUUUGAUUUUAUUUAUAGGAGGAAUAAUAGGGCUUGGUGAAGCUGAAGAGGAUAGGAUUGGUUUGUUGCAUACAUUGGCUACACUUCCUUCUCACCCUGAAAGUGUUCCAAUUAAUGCACUUGUUGCUGUAAAAGGCACACCUUUAGAAGAUCAAAAGGUAUUAUCAUACAACUACAAAGUAGUUUUCAUUGCUGUAAUUGGGUUAAUCUAUCAAAGAUUCUUAAUAUUUUCAAGGGUUAAUCUUAUAAAAGACCUUAUAUUUUGUGUUUUUGUCGGAUUAAACCUCAAGUUUAUUUUUUUCUUGAAAAAGACCUUGUGUUAUUUUCAUUUUAUCUGAUCUCAUCCUUUGUCAUUUUUUUUUUCCAAAAAAACUUAUAAAAUGUGAGGGCUUUUUCGGAAAAAGCUAAAAAAGUUGAGGGUUUUUUAGGAAUAAGUUAGAAGGGUGAGGUUUUUUUUUUCAGAAAAAAGGACAAAGUGAGUGUUUUUUCGGAAAAAUGAAAUACUACAAGGGUUUUUUCAGAAAAAAAAAAAAUAAAGUUAAGGUUUAAUCCAGAAAAAACAUAAAAUAUAAGGUCUUUUAUGAGAGUAUCCCUAUUUUCAAAAGGUUUAACUGCAUGAAAUAGGAAGGCAACUUUCUUUAUUUGUUUAUUAUAAAAAGUUGUACUAUUAUCUCUUCUUAUUAGAAACAUUGUAUUUAAAAUUUUCCCAAUUAUAAAAAUGUCAUUCAAAAUACAAAACUAUUUUCAAUGCUAUAAACAGGUUGUUUUUCAAAACAUAAUUUCCUAAUAAGAUAAAACUUGAAAUUACAAUGCUAUAAUUGAGUAGAUUUUGUAAACCCCAAUGCCUUAAUAUGAAAAAAAUAAAAUAAAACUUCAAUGUUGUAGUAGAAAAAAAAAGUAAUGUUUUUCAGCAAAUUCAAGGAAAAGUUGUUAGAAUUUUGGGUUAAUCUCAUAAACAACCUUAUAUUUUGUGUUUUUUUCCAGAUUAAACCUCAUAUUUACUUUUUUCCCAAAAAAGACCUUAUAUUUUUUCCGAAAAAACCUUCACCUUUUUAUUUUUUUUUUCCGAAAAAAACCCUCGACCUUCUAACUAUUUCCAAAUAAACCCUCAACUUUUUUAAUUUUUAUCGAAAAAAACCCUCACAUUUUACAAGUUUUUUCGGAAAAAAAUAACGAAACGGGCCAGAUCGGAAAAAAAAAGAAAAAUUUCAAGGACUUUUUCAGGUAAAAUAAUAAAGUUGAGGUUUAAAUCCAGAAAUAACACAAAAUAUAAGGUCUUUCAUAAGAUUAACCCUAUAUCAUUUACCUUACAAUUCCUUAAUUCUUUAAAUAAAUAACCCAAUGUUGCAAUACAAACAAAACAAAAAUAUCUUCCGAUUCUUUGCAUUUAUCCCUAAACAAAAUGUUAAAAAAAAAAUUGACAUUUCAUGGAGAUAGAUAUAGUUGGGUAGAUUUUUCAAAAUUAAUAAGAAAAAAAAAUAUAGUGCAAUGUUGUAACAGAAAGAAGAGAGAAAUUGUCACAAGAAUCCCAAUAUUUUCGAAAAAGUUACACUUCAAUCCCAUUUUUUUUUUGAACAUAAAACUCGCGAUUACUUCAUUUUCGCUCAAAUUAACAAUUUUUUUUUUCUUUUAACAAAAGUGUAAAUUACUGAAAUCGUCUCUAUGGUUUGGUUAAAAUUGCAUAUUCGGUCCCUAACUUUUAUUUUGCACUCAGAUCGUCCCUGUGGUUUGGUCAAAAUUGCACGUUUGGUCCCUAACUUUAUGUAUGUAAGGGACGAAAAACGCAACAAAAUCAAAGCAUAGGGACGAUCCAAGUGCAAAAGAAAAGUUAGGAACCAAAAAUUGCAAUUUUAACCAAACCAGAGAGACGAUUUCAGUAAUUUACUCAACAAAAAAAUGACAUAUCAUCGUGUUUUUCCAAAUAGUCAGGACUUUUAUGCUCAAAAAAAAAAAAACUCUGAGACUAAAGUGAAACUUUUCCGAAAAUAUCGUCACUUUCCUGACAAUUGAAAUAAAUGAAAGUACAUUCCUAUAUUUAGCAUUUAGCCGUUUUCAAUUUUUUUGGAUAUGAAGGCGGUUGAAAUAUGGGAGAUGUUACGGAUGAUAGCAACAGCGCGUAUCACGAUGCCAAAAGCAAUGGUGAGAUUAUCUGCGGGAAGAGUAAAGUUUUCGGUUCCAGAACAAGCUUUGUGUUUUCUUGCUGGAGCAAACUCCAUUUUCACUGGUGAAAAGCUUUUGACAACUCCAAAUAAUGACUUUGAUGCUGACCAGUCAAUGUUUAAGCUCCUUGGUCUGAUCCCAAAACCCCCCACCUUCUCACAUGAUGAUUCACAAGAACAACCUCUUCUUCAGGAAGCUCUUUCUAGUUCUGGUUGAGGUUUUUCAAACAUGUUGUAUCUUGUUAAUUGAUAUUCUUGUUUUUUUUUAUUAGGGUUAAGUUGAAGAUGAUGUAGGAGUUAGAUGUAUUAAUGAUUUGGUUUUUGGUUGGACUUGUUUUUUUUUUUUUUUUUUUGGACUGAAACUGAAAUCAAUACCAAGAAACAAAAAAAUAAAAAGAUAAAAAAGUGUAGUUGUUUUCGUUCAACCUAAAAAGAUGGUAGUAGGUGAGGAACAUGGACUUAGUCAAACAGAUUAGGUUAUGUUUGGUAAAAAAUAAGGUGGAUUAUCAGUUAUUUUAUUGUGUGAUUUGUUGAUUGGUAAAAUCGGAAAACUAGUUUUUGAUAAGAGUUUGUUUUUGUAAAUAUUUCAAAUAUGUUAUUAAUUGUAUCUAUAUUUUUCAUUUUAGUUAUACAUGUAAAUAUGUAUUUAUUGAAAUCUAACGAGUAAUUCAUAAGCUAGUUCGUCGACUAACAAUUUUUCAAAUAAAAUAUAGUUUGUCAAAUAGGACUAUAGUACUAGUACGUAUCUUCAAAAGUAAAUAAUUGAUAUGACGUUAUCAAGUUUGUCAAAUAGGACUGUAGUAGAUAUCUUCAAAGUAAAUAAUUGAUAUGAUGUUACUAGAUGAAUAAAUCAAGGGCAAUAAUUCACUAAUAUUAUAAGAGGCCACUUCCGCAUAUAAUAAGAGAACUUACAAAACUACAAGAAUGUGCUUUCUCAAAUAAUAAGAGGAAUCACAAAAUAAGCAAAAGAUGAGAGAGAAAUUUAUAUUAUAUUAGGUUAUAAUCCGUGGAAUAUGAUUAUAAAAAUAAUUAAAAUUUUCUAAUAAAAACUAAUCAAUUAUUUAUAAUAUAUAUUAAGAAAAAUAUAAUUUACAAUUAAAUAAGGUAUUUCACGUUUUGAAAACUGUGGUUGUUUUUUUCUAAACAAUAGUAAAAAUAUUAAAUAUGAGUAACUAACGUGGUUAUGUUGGUAAAUAUCCCUAAAAGGGUUAAACGCCUUAAAAUUAAUAUAAAAUUGCUAACAUUUUUAUGUAUUAUUAAUCUUCAUAAUUAACAUGGCAUGAAUAUGUCUUACUUUAUUUCCUACAUAAGGCUCUUCAUUCCUAUUGCUAUUCUGAAGAAAGAGAUAAUGACUUGAAAGGGUAACGAACUUUCGAUUUUUUUCACAUUUACUUACUAAAUUGUUUUUCGUUAUCUAUUUGUCAUUGAACUAUUAAAACUAUUCACAUUUUACCCUUAUGACCGGUAACAACCGGUCAUAAGGGUAAAAUGUGAACAGUUUCAAUAGUUUAGUGGCAAAUAGAUAACGAAAAAAAGUUUAAUGACUAAAUGUGAACAAAAUCGAAAGUUCGUUUGCCUCUAAAAAGUUCAAUGGUUAAAUGUGAGCAAACUUUCUAUUGUAUUAUGUUUUAGCAAAUUAUUUAUUUUUAUUUAAUUGUAGCAACAUUUGUUGAUUAAGAAAUCUAUGAAAUAAAAAAACAAAAUGUAACAUCCGGAUUUACAGGUAUCAUAAUUUAAGUAUUUUUCUUUUGAGUUAAGAAGAGAGACUCGACGAGUUGACGCCUCAACUCGUCGAGUAAGGUCGCGACUGGUGACUCGGAUUAAUGAAUGGACUCGACGAGUCCGCNCGCGCUGUUGGCAGAAACCCUAAAUCUUUGGGCCCGAGCCAUAUUUAAAGGCACUUAUGGCCUUCAAUUGCGACUACCUUUCCCAUAAGUGAGAACCCUAGCGAGCUUGAGUGUGUAGAGUGAGAGGAAGAGCUAUCUUGAGCUUUUUGGUGUGAUUUUGCAAGAAAGGAGAAGAGUUCCAGCAAGAGGGACCAAGGAAGGUUAUUGUUCUGAGUUAUUCAAGCAAGGAGCUUCAUUCUGAGGUACAAAAAUGAACCCCUUUCCUUCCCUAUUGUGUAGAUUCCAUUUUGGGGUUAAGGCUUGAAUCACUUCAUCUUUGGGGUUUUGAAUGCCUCAAACCCCUCUUGCAAGUUUGUGUUAUAGAUCUGUACCCUUUUAGGUCCAGAGAGCAAAGAAUAUGAAGCUUUAGUAGAGUAAACUUUGGGGUUUGAAGUUAGGAAUUUGGACCAUUCUAGGUCCAGAGAGCCGAGAAUAUGAAGCUUUAGUAGAGUAAACCUUGGGGUUUGAAGUUAGGAAGCAUUUAUGGGAUUUUUAUGGUAUAUAUAGUUACUUUCAUCUUACACAUAGAUAUGAAGUAUUUUAUAUAAAUUACGUGCUAUGUAUGCAUAUUAUUUGAAUACUUGUUGUCUAUGCUGGAUGAACGAUUUUAUACAUGUUUUAAAAGAUUUAAACGGUAUAUUUAUUUUAUAUCUACAAAUAUGUUGCGGAUGAAACAUGGGUAGAUGAAAUAGUUGGUGUGUGAUGAAAUAAAAUGAUGAGAGAUAGGUGAUGAUAGAAAGGUGAUGAUAAUUAGGUAAAUAGAUGAUGAUGAAUAUGUGAUGUAGGAUGAAAGGAGAUACCAUAACCUUAACCAACAAUGUGGCGAUGUAGUCAUCUACCAAAGUAUAGAUGGCGACCAUGGACUAUUCUAGACAACCCAGUGGAAACACCAGCAGGCCCAUAACCUGUAGGUGAUGAAUUACGAGUUCAAGCGAUGUUGUAACUACGUAUUCAUGCGAUGAUACUCUAAUCCCUUACUAUGAAUUACGAGUUCAGACGAUGUUGUAACUACGUAUUUAUGUGAUGUCACAAAUUCUGCAUGCCAAACCAAUGGUUGUAAUUCACAUCAGUGAGAAUGGUUCAUUUUUUUUGUAAAACCAAAAUCAGAUUGGAAAUUUUGAUUUUUUAUUUUGGAAAAUGUCAAACCAUUGGUUUUUUAUUUCGGUUUCGGUUUUUUGUUUUUUUUUUUAAAAUAUAUUUUCAGGGUUUUUUUUUUCAUAGAUUUCUUCAUCAACAAAUGUUGCUACAAUUUAACAAAAAUAAAUAAUUUGCUAAAACAUAAUACAAGAGGAAGUUUGUUCACAUUUAGUCAUUGAACUUUUUAGAGAGAAACGAACUUUCGAUUUUGUUCAUAUUUAGUCACUAAACUUUUUUUCGUUAUCUAUUUGCCACUAAACUAUUAAAACUGUUCACAUUUUACCCUUAUGACCGGUAACAGCCGGUCAUAAGGGUAAAAUAUGAACAAUUUCAAUAGUUCAAUGGCAAAUAGAUAACGAAAAAAAGUUUAGUGACUAAAUGUGAAAAAAGUCGAAAGUUCGUUACCCUUUCAAGUCAUUAUCCCAAAAAGAAAUAUAUGCAUACGGUGAUCACUAAGAUUUUUUUUUUAAUUACUUUUCUUUUAGUUGGAAAUCAUUAAGAUUUUUUUUUUAAUUAGUAACAAUCAUUUACCUUACGUAACCAUAACCAUUGCAUGGAAGAAAGUAACUCUAUACAUAACAUAUGUAUAUUAAGUUUACAGUUUAUAUGUUAGAAGUUUAAUAAUUACCGAUUUAAAUUUUGAAAUUUAAUUCAAGACCAUAAUGCUUCAUAAGUUAGUGAUGCAUAGUAGAAAUUCAACACCCCUUGAAUUUUGUUGUUGUUGUUGUUGUUUUGUUUUGUUUUGUUUUGAUUUUUUUUUUUUUUUUUUUUUUUUUUUUUUUUUUUUUUUUUUUUUGUGUGUGUGUGUGUAAUUUGGAAAUUUAAGCAUGAAUUGUACAUCUAAGGUUUUGAUAAACAACCCCAACAGUACACGUUUGUUCAACAUGUUUUUGAUAAACCCCAACAUUUUUGAUAAACAACCCCAACAAUACACACUUAUUCAAGAUGUAUGUAGUAUUUAGUGGUAAAGAAGAAAAUCUAAGUAUGAAAACCAAAAGAAUUUAGCCAAUAAACCUCAAAGGAACAGAGGAUACCAAAGCAUUAGUGGAAGGGAUCCCUAUCUUGAACUUUUUCAUCAUCUUUAUGGUUGAACAAAGGAGGCAGAAGAUUAGAACCUACCAUGUAACCAUUUGUAGCUAAUUCACGGUUAUCUUAGGCAUUUUAUCGGUCACAUGGUAGAUGAAACAAAUCAUCCAAGUUAUCCAUAUCAAGAACUCAAAGAUUGAGCCUUUAAGAAGUCAAAACAGUUAUGAAUAUCACAAUUUCUAAGUGAAUCUUCAAGACCGAAUGAAUUAAGACAAUUAAAUGAAAAAUAAAGUAACUAAAAUAAGGGUAAAAUAAAGUACAACCUUAAGCCUUUAAGAAGUCACAAAACUUAUGCCUAGGACAUCAUUCACACCGCAUUAAGGCGGAGAAAACACCUCUUGGGCGGAGGAGGUGGCGGCAGAACAUUAAAUAAUUUCCACUUUCUUUAUCUCCCCUAGAUUAUGUAACAUAGAAGAAUUGUAGGAUCUCCGGCGAUGAUUAAAACGACAUAUGUAUGCAUCGUCAAGUUGGUGGUCGCGAGUUUCUAAAGCACCAUGGAGACCGGAGAGAAACGAAGAAAGAGUAAAAGAGUUUGAAAGAGUUCAUGAGGGAAAAGGCCAACCAAGAAAAAACGACAUGCAUCACCAAGAAAAGUCGACAUCUGACAUCUGCAUUCCGAUUUGUUAUAAUCGGCACAUGUAGCUACUCUGUUAUUGCAUCCAUCUGAAGAACAUCAAGCACGUUGUACUUACGGCUUGUUCGUUAGUUUUUUUUGUAAAUUCGAGAAGGAAAAUUUUGACAAAAAGAAAUGGAGACGAAGGAAAAUAUUCAAUAUUCCGUGUUGUUCGAAGGAAAUGAAAGGAAAAGAAAAGAAAAUUUUAAGUUUUUAUGUUCCCGAGUUAGGAGGAAAAAGAAAAUAAACUUAAAAUUUUCCUUCCCCUCACUUUCUUCCCAAAUCCGCCCAAUUUGGGAGGAAAAUUUGGAAGGAAAAUAUGAUUCAAAAAUCCAUCCCCUCCCCUCACUUUCCUUCCAUUAAUGAAACUCGGGAACACGAUUUUUCUUCGACACCCCUCACUUUCCCUCCGUAUCCUCCCAUUUCUCUCAUUAAGUAGAACUUGGGAACAAGGCGUUAGGAUUUUGGUGGCUGUUGAUUUGUAGGAGAGCUCCAUCGAUUUUAAAUUUGAAGGGAGUGAGAUUCCCAAUAAUUAGGGAUAUAAAUUGAUCCUGAUUAAUAACGAAAAUAAGUGGGAUGCGUAUCUAUUGGUAAUUCGAAGUAAUGUAGAAAAAUCAAAAAAUCUAAGAAAAUGGCUAAAAAUGAUACGUGGCGAAGCAACUAACAUGUGACAAAAUAAAAAAACCUACUCUUUUAUUAGAUAAGGCUGAGUGGUAUGCUCACCAUGAACCCGGUAGUGGUCUGGGUGGACACGAAAAAUUUUCGUGCACACCACCCCGAGGUUUUGUGGUGUUCUGUACUCGUGCUCCCUCGUGUUGGCGAAGACGAUCCUAAACACCCAAUCAUAUUAGUAAUGCUUUAGAAGCCUGUUUUGAUAUUUUAAAACAAAAACCCGAUACUAGAGGAAUAAUGAGUUUUAGUAGUAUACAAAAGUGUGCAGCUGCGCUUAGGUAUUUGGGAUACUGUAUAGCAUUUGAUACAUCCACGAAUACUUGAAAGUAUCCGAGAGGACCGCAAUUGAUUAUGUAGAUUGGUUUUGUGCAUGUGUGUAUGGGGUUUUCACCAACAAUAUUUGUGUAAACCUAUUCCACGUGAUAUUGAGAUAUUAUAUUUGGCUCAUGAAAACAAGAAUGAAUUUCCGGGUAUGCUUUGGACUCUAGAUUGUACACAUGUGGCUUGGGAAAAAUGUCCAACCGCAUGGCGUAGUCAAUUCACUCGAGGAGAUAUAGGUGAACCAAGUAAAUCCUAGAAGCUGUUGCAUCUCAGGAUUUAUGGAUAUGACAUUCAUUUUUUGGAGUUGCAAGGUCUAACAACGACAUUAACAUUCUUGACCAGUCUCCUCUUUUCAACGAUCUUUGAACCCGCAAAGCACCUGAUAUUCACGGUGAACGGACAUUCGUACAAAUACAGUUACUGCCUGUGACAACCUGAAAUUUCUAACUUGUAUAAGAAUUCAAUUCAAUCAAAGUCAGACUCCUUUUUGCUAUCUUUUAGCACUAUUUAAGGUCUAUUUGAGGGUUCUAAGCAUAAUACAAUCAAGGUUUGAGCUUAGGAAUGAGUUACCUUAAGUCAUAACAAGUCAAUAGGGCCAAACACUCCUUCAAUAGGAGUGUANUACGACCGUUAACCCUAUAUGGGGGUAUAUAUAUAUAUAUAUAUAUAUAUAUAUGACACUUAGUCAUUUUAACCCCUUUUCACACUUCCAAGCCUAGAAAUCGGAUUCUCUCUCAAGUAUCAUCAAGAAUUUUCACUUGAUCUUCAAAUAAGUGUUCCUUUCAUUGAUAGUUAAUACAAUGCUUUAACAAGUGAUGAUCCAUAUUUUCAUCCAUGAAAUAUACCUCUUUUUGGUUAGAUCUUCAAGAACACCAAGAACACACAAUAAGUUUUUGAGACUCUAAACACCCCUUCAAGCUUCCAGAUUGUGAGUAUUCCUUCCAUAGCUUGUUAUAUGCUAGAAACUCUUGAUGUUUAAACAUAAAAUCGACCAUUUUUCAAGAUCAUUAAGGGUGUACGGUUGUACACACCCUAUGUGGCCAUACACACCUCUUUUAAGGUCCAAAAUGGUAACCAACUUCCCUCACUACUAGAAAACAGACCUUUAAUGACGCGCUUUUUACGACACGCAUUGAUUAAUGAUACGCAAAAGGACGUGCCCUUAAAAUAGUGUUAUCUCUCCAAAAAAUUUAAGGAUUUACGUCACGCAUUAUUGCGUGCCCUUAAUUUAGUGUCUUAAGGAAAAAAAAAAACACGGAGGGCACUUUAUCUUAAACGCACGUCGUCUGUACCUGUCGCUUUAUAAUCUUUUAAUAAAACACACUUUUAGUAGACAAGGGGUGAAACGAAAUCCCCAAAAUUUUGAAAACCCGCCUCGAUUUUUCUAUCUUCUAUCUAUCUUUCAUCCUUGCAAUCCACUCUCCCCUCUCUGAUACUCUCUCCUCUAGAUCUCCCUUCAUUCUCUACCUCCCGUCUCUCUGUAAACCCUAAGCCAUCGCCACCUCCCUUCUCUCUAGCACGUGCUAGGGGUUUUAUUUUCUUUCAAGCUUCCGCUUCUCUCGUUUUCUCUCAACCCAGUACGUGCGAGGGUUCGGAAUAACUGAGCGUAUUCAAACAAUCAAUCUUCCAUUUGAACUUCUUUCAACUCUGGAUCAUCGAGUAUUUUUUCAGAUUCCUUUUCCUGUUUUGUUCAUUUAAGACAAAGAAAGAUUGGGACGAUGGGUAUGUUCAAACCCUAGACCACAUUCACGCCUCUCCAUCCACACUCGCUACCUUUUCCUCUGUUUCUUCCUCUAACACCGUUGAUCUAGGGCAAAAUCUCCGCCAUCUUCAGUUCAUCUUCAGUAAUAUGGAUUUGAAACCGUUGAUUUUGGAAGGGAGAGAUAGGGUUUCUGGAAUUUUAUCAUGAUAUGAAACCCAAUAACUGAAGUGAUGAGAAGUCAGGGGUAUUUUGGACCAUACGAGUCAAAUAUAUUGGAAGGGUCAUGACCUGUGACAAGGAGGGGCAAGAAGGGCGGCCCAUUAUUUUCAGGGGGGCUAAAAAUAAAGAUAGUCCAAUUUUUCACUUACUCACACGCGAGAAGGCGACAUAGAUCGAUCGCAGCAGAACACAUAAAUCAUCAACGAUUCACGCCUUAACGACAACAUCGACUAGCGAGGUCCCAGGGUUGAUGUGAUUCUGUGAAGGAUCAAUUUAUGCGCUCCUACAGUCUUGCUUAUUCUUCUGACUUCUAAUCAAGUAAGUAAUCGAUUAAUUGUUGUUAUCCAAGUCUUCUAUCCAUGCGUUGGAUCAAUUUGUAAUUGAAUGCCGAAAUCAGUUUGUUGAGUCGAAUCUUCAGUUUGUAAUUGAAAUAUUGAACGUCGGUUAUCACUUAUCAGUUUAUUAAUUUCUAAGUAAUGCUUUGCAAUCGGUUUAGUAUUGUUGUAUUAAACCAAAAUGUUUAUGAAAUAACUAUAGAAAGUCAAACUGUUUUGUAUCAAAUGACCCAAGUGAAACAAUUUUUGAAGUACAAUGACUCGGUAUUUAUGGAUAAACUAUAAUUAGAAAGCUAUAUGAUAGGUCUUUAGCUAAUAAAUUUUUGUUGGAAGUUUUAUUUUCUAUAAAAUAAAUUAGGAAAUAUGUAGGUAGUUAAAUUUUAUUUCAACACCAUAUCAAUUGUUUUGUAUUUGCUGAUUCAUGGAGUUUAACCGCAGGUUCACUCUUUUGUCUGAAUCAGAUUCUUGGAGCACCAAAUGAGGAAAUUUUGUUAAUUCACGAAAUAUUUGGGUAACAAUUCUCUCAUUAUUUUGAUUAUUUUCUUUUGUUCCUUUUUCAUGUUCUCAUUUUUCUUCAUAUUGUCUAGAUUGUGUCUAGCAGGAGGGAGGGAAGUCCAUGAUGUAGUUGUGAAAAGUAUUCAAGAUCUGGCAAAAGCAUUCUCACUUUAUGAUGUUGAAAUGCUGGUAAUUAAUAAUUAUAAUAAUAAUAUCAUCACUUCAAAACUUUUGACUUUGGAGAAUCUACAGGGUUGACUUUUGUAUGCCCCACAACUUGUUUCAGGUAAGAAGGGAAGAAUUACUUCAGUUUGCUCAAACUGCAAUCACUGGGCUUAAAGAAACUGGUGACAUAGCACGGUAGGUGAGGCAAGAGUCUAAAACUGUAAAAAAAUAUGUUGAAUUUCUUGUUUUUAAGCUAAUUUUAUAUCUAUUCUUUGUUGUGUGAUCUGCCCUCAGAAUAGAUUUUGAAAUCUCACAAAUACAUCAACGAUUGAAUAGAAUGAAAUGCCAGCAAUCUGCACAUGAAGCCAGUGACAAUUCUUCUGAGGCAACAAGCACUGCAUCAUUAAUGAUUAAGCUGUUGAUGAAAUCAAUACAACAAUAAACCCUAAUAGGAAACCAUAUGUGAAAAAACACACCUUUUCUGAUGCAAGAAAUAGAAGAACCUGUUACACAUAUUUAGUUGUGCUGCAGAUUGAAGUCAUUUUUACUGAAGAAAUGAUUGUUGAGAUAUGGGGAUACAAUAGAGACUCAUGCUCAGAGAGUAUGGUUCAUCUAGUUUAUUAAAUGAUUAAUUGAUUAUAUUUUGUAUGAUUGUGUAAUUAUUGUGCAGGUUGAUAUAUUAAAAGUUCUAGUAGAAUCUCUUCAUAACUCGGCCUCCAAAACAAAAAUGCGAACUUUGGACAGAGGUAAUUAUUUUAUCAUUUCUUUUGACUUUGUUUUUAAUUUAUACAAGUGUAUUUUUCUUGACCUCACUGAUGUGUUGGUAGGGAAGAGAAAAACGAAGCCCUUACUUUUCGUGUAGCUAGAAGCAAUGAAGUCAGCCAAAUUGAGAAGGUUUGAUGGCAUUUUGGAAGUUUAUUACAUUUAUUUUAUUAUCUUUAGAUGAUUAGAUUCUAUUACCUUAAUUUGAAGAUUAGAACAUUUUUCAGGAGUUGGGAGCUGAAAUUAGUGAGCUUGAAAAGCAAAGAGACAAAAUCGAAGCUGAAUUGAGAGAGGUAUUCUUCAUUGUGAAGUCUAAGUUUCUAACUCUUAACACAUGGUUUUUGUUAGCUCCUCCUUCCGAUAUUGCCCUUGUCACCCUGUUAUCCGGUUGGGCUUGCAAAGGGCGUCCAAGGGAAAUAUGCUUGUCUUCAAGCACAAAAGGUUGUUGUCAUGCAAGGGCAUUUUUGGAAUCCAGUAAUGGUUGCAAUCCACCUUGUUGUGCAAUGGCAUUUUUGGAAAUAUGCCUGUCUUCAGGCACAACAGGUUCUUGCUCUCUCUCUCUCUCUAACUAUAUAUAUAUCUAUAUAUAUGCAUAUAUAUAUAUGUAUAUAUAUAUNAGGAUGGUUGCUGGAGGGAAAUAAUGAACAUGUAACUUUCAACCUUUUUCUUUUAGCUUUCUGAUACAUCUUAUGUACUUUACUAGUGUUAUGCAACUUAAAUUCACUUUUUGAAGUUAAUCAAUCUUUGCUGAUAUGAUGGAGUUUCACUUGAUUGCUAUCUGUUUUAAAUUAACACUACACGACACAUGCAAUAGUCUUUAAAAUUAAUAGCUAGUUGGCAGUAUGUUCACUCGUUAUGUACCCUUUUUAAAUUUGUUUAAUUAUAUGUAUAGCUAAACAAGCUAGCUAGGUGCAUAAUACGAUUCAUUUGAAUCUUGAGUUUUCUACUGAAUAUUGCUUUGGACUCAUAACAGCAGGUUGGGCGCAAGUUUUACACCAAUGGGUUAUAAGGUGGACUGAGGUGAUAGAUCAACCAGAGGGGUCAUCCUUUUAAAAGAUUGAUUUUAUCCCCUCUAUAUGUUAAAGGACUUGGUAGAUCAUCAUCUGGUGGAAUCUUGAGUUCCAUUACUUAUGGAGCCAAUGAGAUUGCUUCUUCUGUUCUAGCAAGUAUCACAAGUCAAAGUAAGAAAAACAAAGGGAAUUUCAAUCGAGUGAAUUUAGAUAAAGAUAAAGGUAUAGGGGAAUCGUCUAUCUUCUUGCAUGCCUUCUAGAACCUUUUAUGCCAUCGUUUUCUAUUGAGGCAAGUAAAUUCCCACUAAUCUGUUUCUAAUCUAUAAAAUACCGUUUUUACCCCUUCAAAUAGUUCUUUCUAUUUGUUUUAUUGAUACACAGGUCCUCAAGCAGCUCAAUUUUCCCCUUCAACUAUCCCUCUGUGAUGAUAAGGGAGAUAUCAAAAAGGCCAAAACCCCUUCGGAGUUCAUACCUAUUGGCCACAAAAUUGGGACCCCUGUUCCAUUAUUCAAGGAAUUGGUAAUUAACUAAUUAUCAAUAACAAAAAUUCAAUAUUAAAAAUAUUUCUUUUUAAUUUUUUUUCGUGUACAGAAAGAUGAAGUGGAGUUUUUCCGGAAUAAAUUUUGCUGGCAGUCAAGCUGACCGAGUUGACUGGGCUUUUAAGGAAGAAGCUGAAGCAAAAAAACUUACUGAAAAGUUGAAGAACACAAAAAUUUCAGGUCAUUAUUAUUUUUCCCUGAAAACCCUGAACCUCUGAAUAUUUAGUGAUAAAGCAAAACGGUUGGUAAUUAUUAUUAUUAUUAUUAUUUUAUUUAAUUUUAAUAAUGUUUGCAGAUAAAAGUGGAAAGAAAGAAAAGGGGGAGAAGUCUGGUGUUGGUGAAAAAGCAAAAACAAAGGGAGCUGUUGUGGAAAAGGAAGUAACAAAGGGAGAGGAUUCUUUUCCAUUAUUAACUAAAAUUACAUGAAGUUAAAGUUAGGUCCUCUUCUUUGUGUUGAGUGCUUGUUGCUCUGAUUUUGAUCUAUGUGUUGAGUGCUUUUCUGUUGGUGCUGAGGUUUAUCCUCAUAAAAGCAAUCAUCCAUAUAGAGUUACGGUUAGUAAUUUCUUGUUGGUAUACAAUUGUUGAAGUUUGUUGUUGUGUUCCA